AAAACAAGAAAGAGAGAAACCAUGUUGGGGGGAAAUGAGAAUCUAUUAUUAGUUUACUUUGUAAUAGUGACAGUUAAAACGGUUACUAUAAGUUGUGGGGGAAAACAAUAAGUUAUUUUGUGACACUUCAAUUAAUUGGAGUUUUUAGUACUAGAUAAAUCAAAUUAACUACAUUAUAUAAAUAUGGUAUAAAACAUAAUUUAGUUAGAAUAAAUUUGCUGUCAUGUUUUUUUUUUCACUUACAUAUUG
This 249-nucleotide long non-coding RNA is filed under the name Vigna radiata. Its description in RNAcentral is "long non-coding RNA (VRAD_LNC001412)". Lineage: Eukaryota; Viridiplantae; Streptophyta; Magnoliopsida; Fabales; Fabaceae. The record is from RNAcentral.